UUGGAGGGCAAGUCUGGUGCCAGCAGCCGCGGUAAUUCCAGCUCCAAUAGCGUAUAUUAAUGUUGUUGCAGUUAAAAAGCUCGUAGUUGAAUUUCGGGAUUAGUACGUUGGUCGUGCCUUCGGUACGUACUGGUGUUACUGAUUCCUACCUUCUGACGAACCAUCAUGUCAUUAAUUUGGUGUGGCGGGGAAUCAGGACUGUUACUUUGAAAAAAUUAGAGUGUUUAAAGCAGGCUCGCGCUUGAAUACAUUAGCAUGGAAUAAUGAAAUAGGACGUUGAUCCUAUUUUGUUGGUUUCUAGGAUUGACGUAAUGAUUAAUAGGGAUAGUUGGGGGCAUUAGUAUUCAAUUGUCAGAGGUGAAAUUCUUGGAUUUAUUGAAGACUAGCUACUGCGAAAGCAUUUGCCAAGGAUGUUUUCAUUAAUCAAGAACGAAAGUUAGGGGAUCGAAGACGAUCAGAUACCGUCGUAGUCUUAACCAUAAACUAUGCCGACUAGGGAUCGGAUGAUGUUAUUUUUAAUGACUCAUUCGGCGCCUUACGGGAAAC
RNAcentral lists this ribosomal RNA (546 nucleotides) under uncultured Glomeromycotina. RNAcentral describes it as "SSU rRNA". It matches the Rfam family "Eukaryotic small subunit ribosomal RNA", at positions 548 to 1098 of the family's 1831-position model. Lineage: Eukaryota; Fungi; Glomeromycota. The record is from RNAcentral.